ACGCUGGCGGCAGGCUUAACACAUGCAAGUCGAACGGUAACAGGAGAAAGCUUGCUUUCUUGCUGACGAGUGGCGGACGGGUGAGUAAUGCUUGGGAAUCUGGCUUAUGGAGGGGGAUAACGACGGGAAACUGUCGCUAAUACCGCGUAGAGUCGAGAGACGAAAGUGCGGGACCGCAAGGCCGCAUGCCAUAGGAUGAGCCCAAGUGGGAUUAGGUAGUUGGUGGGGCAAUAGCCUACCAAGCCGACGAUCUCUAGCUGGUCUGAGAGGAUGACCAGCCACACCGGGACUGAGACACGGCCCGGACUCCUACGGGAGGCAGCAGUGGGGAAUAUUGCGCAAUGGGGGCAACCCUGACGCAGCCAUGCCGCGUGAAUGAAGAAGGCCUUCGGGUUGUAAAGUUCUUUCGGUAUUGAGGAAGGUUGUUGUGUUAAUAGCACGACAAAUUGACGUUAAAUACAGAAGAAGCACCGGCUAACUCCGUGCCAGCAGACGCGGUAAUACGGAGGGUGCGAGCGUUAAUCGGAAUAACUGGGCGUAAAGGGCACGCAGGCGGACUUUUAAGUGAGGUGUGAAAUCCCCGGGCUUAACCUGGGAAUUGCAUUUCAGACUGGGAGUCUAGAGUACUUUAGGGAGGGGUAGAAUUCCACGUGUAGCGGUGAAAUGCGUAGAGAUGUGGAGGAAUACCGAAGGCGAAGGCAGCCCCUUGGGAAUGUACUGACGCUCAUGUGCGAAAGCGUGGGGAGCAAACAGGAUUAGAUACCCUGGUAGUCCACGCUGUAAACGCUGUCGAUUUGGGGAUUGGGCUUUAAGCUUGGUGCCCGAAGCUAACGUGAUAAAUCGACCGCCUGGGGAGUACGGCCGCAAGGUUAAAACUCAAAUGAAUUGACGGGGGCCCGCACAAGCGGUGGAGCAUGUGG
Molecule: ribosomal RNA, 920 nt
Filed under: uncultured bacterium
Lineage: Bacteria
Description: bacterial SSU rRNA
Rfam family: Bacterial small subunit ribosomal RNA
Source: RNAcentral